AAAUUUGAUAAGUUUUAGUCAUAAAAACUCCAAAAACAACUAAACUACUUUUUCAAACAGCUUCUUUAAUUUGACAUCAACUCUUCUUAGUCUUUUGCUAAAUGGACCUAACCAUAGAGGGUAGAGUCCCGCUGUUCUCAAUAAGCCAUCAAUGUUAUAAAUCUUGAAGGUACCUGUCUGGACUCCUAAAAAUAGGUCCACAAAAAAGCUGAAGCUAUUUUUCUUCGAGUACAUGUAUUCUAAUUGCAAAUGCUUUUUUCCAUUUUAGCUUUCGUCUUGAAUACUGUUGAGCAAUUUAGAAUGGUAAAAAGAUAUGAUCAAUUGGAAACAAUUGCCAACUUUUUGCCAUGUCAUAAGUGAAAGAGGAAAAAUCUCCUUUACUAAUUACUUUAAAGAUAAGCAGUAGCAAUUAAAAUCAAUACUUUUCCCAUUUUUCCCACAUUAAGUGGUUUCCACUCCCCACUUAAUUUUGCAACUUGUUUAACCAACUCUCAAAUUUGAGUUUAAUUAUUAACAGUAAAGUAGUAGUCAAAAUAAGUCAAAAUAAAUUCUUAAAACUAUUAAUAACAUUCUUCUAUUCAUCCAUUUAUAUUUUUAGCAUAAAAAAAGACUAUUGCAGAUUCAAAACCAAAACAAAAGCAACUUCACAGUGAUAAGCGCUGGUCAAGUGUUGGUGAUUAGGCCAAUAACAUUUUACCAUGUGUGGGCCUCAAUUUUUUGUUGCCCUUUAUGUCAACAUGGAUUGUACAAACACGAAAUAUGAGAAAUAGAAGCAACACUAAUUAGAUGUAAUAAACAAAAAGAAUAUAAAAUUGUCUACUUGAGUGGUUUAGAGUUAGCACCUGUUGUUUCUCUACACGCAAGG
Molecule: unclassified non-coding RNA, 865 nt
Filed under: Hevea brasiliensis (rubber tree)
Lineage: Eukaryota; Viridiplantae; Streptophyta; Magnoliopsida; Malpighiales; Euphorbiaceae
Source: RNAcentral